CCUACGGGAGGCAGCAGUGGGGAAUAUUGGGCAAUGGACGCAAGUCUGACCCAGCAACGCCGCGUGAAGGAAGAAGGCUUUCGGGUUGUAAACUUCUUUUAAAGGGGAAGAACAGAAGACGGUACCCCUUGAAUAAGCCACGGCUAACUACUGGCCAUCAGCCGCGGUAAUACGGAGGUGGCCGGCGUUGUCCGUAUGUAGUGGGUGUAAAGGGGGUGCAGCCGGGGAGACAAUUCAGUUGUUAAAUCGACGGGGUCAACCCGUGAACUGCAGUUGAAACUGUUUCCCUUGAGUGUAGGAGAGGUAAUCGGAAUUCCUGGUGUAGCGGUGAAAUGCGUAGAUAUAAGGAAGAACACCAGUGGCGAAGGCGGAUUACUGGACUAUAACUGACGGUGAGGCGCGAAAGCGUGGGGAGCAAACAGGAUUAGAUACCCGAGUAGUC
This 442-nucleotide ribosomal RNA is filed under the name uncultured bacterium. RNAcentral describes it as "partial 16S ribosomal RNA". It matches the Rfam family "Bacterial small subunit ribosomal RNA", at positions 338 to 795 of the family's 1533-position model. The record is from RNAcentral.